UACGACUACAUAUCAGGCAUAUCAAUAAGCGGAGGAAAAGAAACUAACAAGGAUUCCCUUAGUAACGGCGAGUGAAGCGGGAAGAGCUCAAAUUUGAAAUCUUCAAGGUUCUACCUCGACGAAUUGUAGUUUAAAGAAGUGUUUUCUGUUAGAUGAGUAGCAAAAGUUCCUUGGAAUGGGACAUCAUAGAGGGUGAGAAUCCCGUAUUUGGUUAUUCAUUCUAGCUUUGUGAUACACUUUCAAAGAGUCGGAUUGUUUGGGAAUGCAGUCCAAAAUGGGUGGUAAAUUUCAUCUAAAGCUAAAUAUUGGCGAGAGACCGAUAGCGAACAAGUACCGUGAGGGAAAGAUGAAAAGAACUUUGAAAAGAGAGUUAAACAGUACGUGAAAUUGUCAAAAGGGAAGCGUUUGACACCAGUGUUGUUUUUCCGAAAAUCAAUUACGAAUGGCUUGAUUUUGUGUUGUAUUGACCUUAUCAGCUUUCUUCACUUUUUUCGAGUCUUUCUUAAUGCACUUUUCGGUUAACAAGUCAACAUCAAUUUCUUUUGUUGUAAAAGAGUAUUCGGAAGGUGGCUUUCUUUUCGGAGAAAGUGUUUAUAGCCCUAUACUUCUACAAUCGGAGAGAUUGAGGUCUGCAGCGUAGAUCCUUCGGGGUUAGAUACAUUUGUGCUAAGUUAGUAGCUUUGUAUAGACAACUUGUUGACUAUAGCUUCAGUCAUGUAGGCUUACUCGCUUAUGUCAUUUUACCUACGCUUAGGAUGUUGAGUAGCGACAUACGCAC
Molecule: ribosomal RNA, 778 nt
Filed under: uncultured Neocallimastigales
Lineage: Eukaryota; Fungi; Neocallimastigomycota; Neocallimastigomycetes; Neocallimastigales
Description: partial large subunit ribosomal RNA
Rfam family: Eukaryotic large subunit ribosomal RNA
Source: RNAcentral